CAAAAAAAGUCAUCGCAAAAAAAAGGCCACUCGUGCCUUAUCCAUCUCGCUCCGACCACUCGUGCCUCCACGCCGCUUGAUCCACCCCGACGCCGCCCUUGAUCUUCGCCGCCGCCGCCCCCUUCUGCGCCGGCGCCGCCCUCGCCCGGGCCGCAUCGUGGCGUUCCCGCCCUGCACCGCGCGCCCCCGUCCCCGCCCUGCACCGCGCGCCCCCGUCUCCGCUCCGCACCACCGCCGUCCUUCCCCGUCCCGCACCGCCGCCGUCCGUCCCCGCCCUGCACUGCCGCCGGCCGUCCCCGCCCGCCCCGCAUCGCCGUCGGCCGUCCCCGCCCGGCCCCAUCCCCGCACCGGCCCGGUCGUCCCUGCCCCCUUCCCGGCCCCGUCAUCCACACCCCCUUCCUGCCCCGCAGCUGCUGGUGAGGUGGCCGUGGCCGCGGCUCCGGCGGUCCGGCGCCCCCUUGCCGGCCCUCUGCUACUGGUGAGCACCGGCUCCGGCGGUCCGGCGUCCUCUGCUACUGAUUUUUUCCUUUUUUAGCCUUUUACCUGCUGUUAGUGCUUGGAUAAUGAGUCAAUUUGAUAUAUACCUAGUGUUAGUGCUUGGAUAUAUACAUAUUGUUAGUUUUUUACCUACUGUUAGUGCUUGGAUAUAUAAUAAGUCAAUUUGGUGCUUUGAUAUAUAUAUAUAUACUGUUAGUAUUUGGAUAUUUUACAUCGAUUUGGAAUAGCACUACAGCAGCUUUAGUUUUUCAUCACGAAAAAGUAAAGAAAUAUGGUGUGGUGUGUGCACAGGAGAAGCUAGGGACUAGAGAGCAUUGGCAAGACCCAAAUUUUACAUCGAUUUGGACCUCCUAUUAGUCACAGUAGUUUACUUGCUUGGAGUUUUCAUUAUGGCUGUCUCCCAAUAUACAAAUGUACCAAGUUUGAUUACCAAGUUAAGAUUACUUAUAUAAUAUAUAAUGAUAUGUAUACUUCCACGACGAUGAGAUGAUAUAUAUACUUUUGCCACGGUGGAUUAGCAUUCUUUAUUGUGUCGCAUCUUCGUGAUGAGUGGUUUUUUGUUCAUGAUGGUCUUGCUACAAAAUAAUGAUGAAUCUUUUUUGACACUUGAUGAUCUAAGUUUUUUUGACACUUGAUGAUCUAAGUUUUUUUGUUGGUAAAAUUUACAGGCUUUCUGGUGUUGCAUAUCUUUGGAGUCAUCGUCAUCGAAGGCAUUGGUCUGUGAUUUCGUCGCUGUUUGACUACUUCGUCUACAGUCGAGGGUGAGCUACGAAUCCAUCUUAAUAAUCAUGUCUGUGUUCAAAUUUCGAUGGUUCGAUCCGCGGGAGGGGGUAAAACAUACGCCUUCCAUUGGUUUGGUCGAAGUUAAACCAUCAACCGUCUACGCCGGAGCCGAUCUCUUCAUUGCGGCUACCCAAGCUACACAAGUAUAUUAUCUGCCUUACCCAUGCCAGAAAGAGUACCUAAAGGGUUGGGAAGUUGUGUUCAAGGUGUCGCCACAUGGUAAGCUACCGAACCCGAAUGAAGACGAUUACUACAACAUUAACCCCAUGACAUACGAGGGAGUGUUCUAUCAAGAGCAACCUGAUGAUGAUGAUGUGGUUAGAAACGAUGACGCUAGACCAUUGGGUGAUGAUGAUGUGGAUCCAAACGAUGACGAUGCACGGAAUGAUGGUGAGACCAUUGUCAAUGAAAAUGACAUACUUAUGCUAGAAAAGCUAAACGAAGAUGCUGACGACGAGGAAGAGCCUCCACCUCCGUCAGAUAACGAAGAUGAUAUGAUUGAUAGUGAUGAUGAGACCGACCAAGAAAGAGGUUACAACAGUGAUGAUUCAUAUGGGUUCUAGCAGAUGUAUGUUUCAAGUCUUUUUUCUAUGGUUUAGGAAUAUGCCUUUUUAUGCUUUUUAUUAAUGUGUUUAUUAUUCCUUAUUAUUAUGCCUUUUCCUUCAUUUUUAAUGUACUAAUUGUUUAUUCUCUUUUCAAUGCAGGUUUGUGGAACAUGGGCAAGGGGAAGGCUGACGGCGUGGGUUUCCUACGCAAGGUCGUCAACAAGCCUAGGCUUCGGCGGACUUGGCGGUGGUGGUGGAUGUCCUGGCGCUUAAGCCUUUGGGUGACCGUGGUGGUGAUCAUAAACUUGUGGUCUUUAGAUGACUUGUGGUCUUUUAGAUGACUUGUGAUCUUUUAGAUGACUUGUGUGCUUCUUUAGAUGCUUAUGUUUGUGAUGAUGGUUAUGUUUGUCAUGAUACUUAUAUUGUUGUGAUGGUGUUUGUUGUGAGGAUGAUACUUAUAUAUGUUGUGUAUGUCUAUUUCAUCAUAUAUAUAUGCUGUGAAUUUGAAUUGAAACCAAA
This 2345-nucleotide long non-coding RNA is filed under the name Triticum aestivum (bread wheat). Its description in RNAcentral is "long non-coding RNA (TAES_LNC016967)". Lineage: Eukaryota; Viridiplantae; Streptophyta; Magnoliopsida; Poales; Poaceae. The record is from RNAcentral.